This is a long non-coding RNA of Haliotis rubra (blacklip abalone), 110 nucleotides long. RefSeq lists it as uncharacterized. The record is from RefSeq and is a predicted model, not a curated record. Lineage: Eukaryota; Metazoa; Mollusca; Gastropoda; Lepetellida; Haliotidae. The transcript has 3 exons.
AGUUACCUUCAUUAAUCAGGUUAGAGUCAGUAGCCAGGUUACAGUCGACAUGUAACCAAGUUACAGUCAGUAGCCAGGCUACAGUCAACAUGUAAUCAAGUUGAAGUUAG